GUGAUGGAACAAUCUCCAGGGCCCGAUAAGCCACCCUGACCUGGGGAGGUUGGAAACGUAACUCCUGUCGGAGUUCCAGCCCCCACGUGGGUGUGAGCAAGCAGGCAGCGCACUGCGGCUUGGGACCAUCUGGGCUGGAAUUGCAGCACCAGCGCUCUCUAGCUCUGCAACUGUGGGAGCACCCCUAAGCUAUGUUCGGCCUUUGUACUGAGAGAGGAAGUUGCAUCUUUGGGUGGACACAGCCUGUGGCUCCUGUUGUACAAAGGGCCAGGCCCAGGAGAAGAAUGGAUUGGAGAAGGGACACCAUGUUUCACAGCUGUGACAUUUGCCAUCGGGCCUCAGGACACCCAAUGGCAGAGGUACCGUUACUGACUUUUACAUUGAUUGGUGCGUUAGUGUUCUUGGAUGUUCCUCCCCCAGCAUCCUCCAAUGCAUGUCCAUCACUGUGCGUCCUGCUUCUGCAGCCAUCCGCUCUUCUCUCUCAGUCUCCGGAACUGCCCUGCCCUCCCUGUGCAGACUCUAAAUGUCAGGGUGUCUUAGCAUCCCCCACACAGUUCAUGUGGAUGAAGUGA
This 572-nucleotide long non-coding RNA is filed under the name Papio anubis (olive baboon). RNAcentral's name for it is "lncRNA (ENSPANG00000048370.1)". Lineage: Eukaryota; Metazoa; Chordata; Mammalia; Primates; Cercopithecidae. The record is from RNAcentral.